Molecule: transfer RNA, 73 nt
Filed under: Huiozyma naganishii CBS 8797
Lineage: Eukaryota; Fungi; Ascomycota; Saccharomycetes; Saccharomycetales; Saccharomycetaceae
Description: tRNA-Val (CAC) (tRNA-Val-CAC-1-1)
Source: RNAcentral
GUUCCAAUAGUGUAGCGGUUAUCACGUUGUCCUCACACGACAAAGGUCCCGAGUUCGAUCCUCGGUUGGAACA